GACGAACGCUGGCGGCGUGCUUAACACAUGCAAGUCGAACGGAAAGGCCCCUUUGGGGGUACUCGAGUGGCGAACGGGUGAGUAACACGUGAGUAACCUGCCCUUGACUUCGGGAUAACUUCAGGAAACUGGGGCUAAUACCGGAUAGGAAUCCUUGCUGCAUGGUGGGGGUUGGAAAGCUUCGGCGGUUUUGGAUGGACUCGCGGCUUAUCAGCUUGUUGGUGGGGUAGUGGCUUACCAAGGCUUUGACGGGUAGCCGGCCUGAGAGGGCGACCGGCCACAUUGGGACUGGGAUACGGCCCAGACUCCUACGGGAGGCAGCAGUGGGGAAUAUUGCACAAUGGGCGGAAGCCUGAUGCAGCAACGCCGCGGGCGGGAUGACGGCCUUCGGGUUGUAAACCGCUUUCAGCAGGGGCGAAGCUUGUGGUGACGGUACCUGCAGAAGAAGCACCGGCUAACUACGUG
RNAcentral lists this ribosomal RNA (465 nucleotides) under uncultured bacterium. RNAcentral describes it as "partial 16S ribosomal RNA". It matches the Rfam family "Bacterial small subunit ribosomal RNA", at positions 28 to 507 of the family's 1533-position model. The record is from RNAcentral.